GCCGGGCACUGUGGCGCGUGCCUGUAAUCCUGCUGUCUGGGAGGCUAAAACUGAGGGAUUGCUUGAGUCUGGGAGUUUUAGUCUGUCCUGAGCCAUGUCGAUCAGGUGUCCGCACUAAGUUCAGUACCAAUAUGGUGGUCCUGGGGGAACUUGGGAUCACCAGGUUGCCUAAAGAGGGGUGAACCGAUCCAGGUCGGAAACAGAGCAGGUCAAAACCCCCGUACUGAUCAGUGGGAUAGCGCCUUUGAAUAGUCAGUGCAGAAAAGCCCGGGUGAUAAAGUAAGACGCAGUCUUUU
This 296-nucleotide signal recognition particle RNA is filed under the name Xenopus laevis (African clawed frog). RNAcentral's name for it is "Metazoan signal recognition particle RNA". It matches the Rfam family "Metazoan signal recognition particle RNA". Rfam says of the family: The signal recognition particle (SRP) is a universally conserved ribonucleoprotein. It is involved in the co-translational targeting of proteins to membranes. Lineage: Eukaryota; Metazoa; Chordata; Amphibia; Anura; Pipidae. The record is from Rfam by way of RNAcentral.